CCCUUAGAUGUUCUGGGCUGCACGCGCGCUACACUGAAGCGUUCAACGAGUAUUCACCUUGCCCGGGAGGGUUGGGUAAUCUUUUGAAAACGCUUCGUGAUGGGGAUAGAUUAUUGCAAUUAUUAAUCUUCAACGAGGAAUUCCUAGUAAACGCAAGUCAUCAACUUGCAUUGAUUACGUCCCUGCCCUUUGUACACACCGCCCGUCGCACCUACCGAUUGAAUGGUCCGGUGAAGCCUCCGGAUUGGCGCGCACCUCGGUGCCGCCGAGAAGUUGGCUAAACCUUACCAUUUAGAGGAAGGUGAANUCGUANCA
This 315-nucleotide ribosomal RNA is filed under the name uncultured eukaryote. RNAcentral describes it as "partial 18S ribosomal RNA". It matches the Rfam family "Eukaryotic small subunit ribosomal RNA", at positions 1470 to 1796 of the family's 1831-position model. The record is from RNAcentral.